RNAcentral lists this long non-coding RNA (262 nucleotides) under Eucalyptus grandis. RNAcentral describes it as "long non-coding RNA (EGRA_LNC005449)". Lineage: Eukaryota; Viridiplantae; Streptophyta; Magnoliopsida; Myrtales; Myrtaceae. The record is from RNAcentral.
GAUUGGGCGUUCUUCGCGGGCUGGACUUGGCUCGAACUUGCUAAAUUGGGCUCAAUGGAGCUGCUAGAUUUUUGGGCCAAAGACUUGGGCUGAUGGACUUAUUUAAUGGGCUGGGCUGGGCUGCUGAUUCCACUGGGCUUUGCUGGACUCUUGGGCUUGCUAUAGGUUGGGCUAAUCGAAAUUUACUUGGGCUCGUGGACGGGCCCAACUGCUGGACCGUUGAAAAUUUGCUGGGCCGAAGACACCCGGACCAGCUGGACGA